GUGAGAUAGCAGAAUUGACAGAGAACAUUGAAGAAUCUAGUCUAGUGUGUGAAGUUGAUUCUGUGAGAUGUUUCUUGAAAAUAACAGUGGUGGAUUGUGUAGAGAUGGAGAUUGUUGAGAGGUUCUGAGUUGUCAGAAUCUGAUUCUGACUGCAAUCAUCUAAGUCAUCAUCAUGAUGCUCUGAGAAUUGAUCAUACAAAUCAUUCUAUUCUAUAUUAGCUCUAAGAUCAAAAGAAGAAAAGAAAGAAAGAACUAAAUAUAAUUCUACAAAGUAAUGAUCAUUCAGAUUUACUGACAACUUCAAUGACAAUUCAAUCACCAUGAAUUCAAGGUCAUUGCAAUGGUGAUUAUGGAUAAGAUUGAGAAUGGCAGUGCGAAGGUUG
RNAcentral lists this small RNA (383 nucleotides) under Histoplasma ohiense. RNAcentral describes it as "hypothetical lncRNA". Lineage: Eukaryota; Fungi; Ascomycota; Eurotiomycetes; Onygenales; Ajellomycetaceae. The record is from RNAcentral.